Molecule: ribosomal RNA, 216 nt
Filed under: Glomeromycotina sp.
Lineage: Eukaryota; Fungi; Glomeromycota
Description: partial small subunit ribosomal RNA
Rfam family: Eukaryotic small subunit ribosomal RNA (bases 40-216)
Source: RNAcentral
GGGUCAGUAGGUUGGUCGUGCCACCGGUACGUACUGGUCUCACUGAUUCCUCCUUCCUGAAGACCCGUACUGCCAUUAAUUUGGUGUUGCGGGGAAACAGGACUGUUACUUUGAAAAAAUUAGAGUGUUUAAAGCAAGCUAACGCUUGAAUACAUUAGCAUGGAAUAAUGAAAUAGGACGAUCGAUCCUAUUUUGUUGGUUUCUAGGAUUGACGUA